RNAcentral lists this ribosomal RNA (253 nucleotides) under uncultured bacterium. Its description in RNAcentral is "partial 16S ribosomal RNA". It matches the Rfam family "Bacterial small subunit ribosomal RNA", at positions 524 to 776 of the family's 1533-position model. The record is from RNAcentral.
UACGGGGGGGGCAAGCGUUGUUCGGAAUCACUGGGCGUAAAGGGUGCGUAGGCGGGUUUUUAAGUCAGGGGUGAAAUCCUGGAGCUCAACUCCAGAACUGCCUUUGAUACUGAAGAUCUUGAGUCCGGGAGAGGUGAGUGGAACUGCGAGUGUAGAGGUGAAAUUCGUAGAUAUUCGCAAGAACACCAGUGGCGAAGGCGGCUCACUGGCCCGGUACUGACGCUGAGGCACGAAAGCGUGGGGAGCAAACGGG